AACAGAUGUGUCCUCAGCUCAGCUUUGCCAGGGUCACUGCUUUCUGAUCAGCUUUUCACACAGCCUGCACGGAGCCGAGACAAAAGGUGGACCCGGGCAAUGUCACUGCGCAGGUGGGAGGUUGUGGGGCAGUGCUCGGAACAUGCCACACGCCACAACUUUAUGACAUGUCAGAUGUUCUACAUUUGCGGAAUAGAGGCAUGGAAGAAGAGACCUACAGAGCUGCACUAGGCUGAUUCAUUCUCCAAAUGUCUGCAAUGGCCUGUGCUGGGCUGGGCCAAGCUAACGCUGGGAGCUGGAAACUGCACCUGUCUGCCCCCAGGGGCUGUGCCUUAGCAGGGAGCUGGGACUGGGAGGAGUCAGAGAGCAAAUCCAGUUGUGCUGCCAAGGAAGCUCCUAAUAUUUCUUUCUAGGUCCUUACCUUUCGCUUAAAAAGCAUUUUAAACACAGGCACCAUUACAGCUUACAAAAUGAUAACUUUAUUUAGAAGGUGAGGAAAUCCCAGACACAUGAGGGUCUUGUUCAGGGACAAGAGUGGACAAGAAAAGGAAUGAUGAGAGAGAAGUUUCUAUUUAUAUCUACAUCUCAAGAAAGACAGAGAGCACAGCUUUUCUCAGUCAGGUCUGUUUUGGUGUUCAAAAGGGAUGUGGCUACCUAACAUUACUCCACCCAGGUCCCAGAAGGAGGCAAAGAGAAGAUUCACAAGAACUGUACUCAUGGUAAUCAAAACCUCAGAACAGCCCAGAAGCCAAUCAAGAGAGGAAUGGAUAAAUGAUUUGGGAAUAUUCGUGCAAUGAAAUAUGUCAUGGAAACAAUGAAUGCAUUAUUAAUAUAUAUAAAACAUAAUUGAGUCUCACAGUCAUAAUAUUGAGUAAAGGAAGCAGAGAUGAACAUACACUGUAGAAUUCCAUUUACAUGAAGUCCAAGAAUAGGUAAAAGUUGGGAUAGGCAAUUUGGUACAACAGAUUAAGACAUUGCUUAGCAUACUUGCGACCCAUGCCAGAGUGCUGGUCCAAUUCCAGCUGCUUUCCUUCUGUUUCAACGCCCCCUGCUACUGUGCCUGGGAGGCAGCAGAUAAUGGUCAGAACUCUUGAGUCCCUAACACCCACAAGAGAAAUCUGGAUGGAGUUGCAGCCUUGUGACUUUGGCCUGGCCUAUCCCUGGUUGGUGUGACAAUUUAGGAAGUGAACCAAAAAGACAAGGGAGAACUCUGUCUCUUCCCAUCUCCCUUUCUGUUGCUGUAUCAAGUAAGUAAAUAAGUAGGGUUUUUGUUGCUGUCGUUGUUGUUCUUGAAACAAAUGUGUAAAAUUAAUCUAUAAAAAUAGAAGUCAGAAUAAUGGUUACCUUUGGGGUGGUAUUGAUGGA
This is a long non-coding RNA of Ochotona curzoniae (black-lipped pika), 1365 nucleotides long. RefSeq lists it as uncharacterized. The transcript has 3 exons. NCBI's taxonomy places the organism in Eukaryota, Metazoa, Chordata, Mammalia, Lagomorpha, Ochotonidae. The record is from RefSeq and is a predicted model, not a curated record.